This 509-nucleotide ribosomal RNA is filed under the name Rhodotorula mucilaginosa. RNAcentral describes it as "eukaryotic LSU rRNA". It matches the Rfam family "Eukaryotic large subunit ribosomal RNA", at positions 143 to 667 of the family's 3401-position model. The record is from RNAcentral. Lineage: Eukaryota; Fungi; Basidiomycota; Microbotryomycetes; Sporidiobolales; Sporidiobolaceae.
UUGUAAUCUCUAGAAAUGUUUUCCGCGUUGGACCGCACACAAGUCUGUUGGAAUACAGCGGCAUAGUGGUGAGACCCCCGUAUAUGGAGCGGACGCCCAGCGCUUUGUGAUACAUUUUCGAAGAGUCGAGUUGUUUGGGAAUGCAGCUCAAAUUGGGUGGUAAAUUCCAUCUAAAGCUAAAUAUUGGCGAGAGACCGAUAGCGAACAAGUACCGUGAGGGAAAGAUGAAAAGCACUUUGGAAAGAGAGUUAACAGUACGUGAAAUUGUUGGAAGGGAAACGCUUGAAGUCAGACUUGCUUGCUGAGCAAUCGGUUUGCAGGCCAGCAUCAGUUUUCCGGGAUGGAUAAUGGUAGAGAGAAGGUAGCAGUUUCGGCUGUGUUAUAGCUCUCUGCUGGAUACAUCUUGGGGGACUGAGGAACGCAGUGUGCCUUUGGCGGGGGUUUCGACCUCUUCACACUUAGGAUGCUGGUGGAAUGGCUUUAAACGACCCGUUCUUGAAACACGGACC